RNAcentral lists this long non-coding RNA (374 nucleotides) under Homo sapiens (human). Its description in RNAcentral is "HSALNT0327745". The record is from RNAcentral. Lineage: Eukaryota; Metazoa; Chordata; Mammalia; Primates; Hominidae.
UUGGAGAACAAUGAAGCGUGAGCUGGAGGGGAGCGAGCGGGCCGCCGGGAGCGCACUGUGUACAAACAGAGGCGGCGUGCGUCCUUUGGAAGGAAUUGGGCCAUGAGAAGAGCCCUCAUGAAUGGGAUUAGUUCCCUUAUAAGAAGAGACACCAAGGAAGUGAUCUUUCUCUGCCCUCUGCUAUGUGAAGACAAGGUCAUCUGCAGUUUUUUGUUGUUGUUGAUGAUCUUCCUGUCAUAGACAAUGCUGUAACAAACAGACUAAUUGUUCACUGUUGACAUAUAGAAGUACUACUGAUUGGCCAGACAUAGUGGCUCAUGCCUGGAAUCCCAGCACUUUGGGAGGCCAAGGCAGGUGGAUCACUUGAGCCCAGA